UACGGGGGGGGCAAGCGUUGUUCGGAAUUACUGGGCGUAAAGGGUGCGUAGGCGGCUUUCUAAGUUGGAUGUGAAAACUAUGGGCUCAACCCAUAGCCUGCAUCCAAAACUGGAGAGCUUGGGUUCUGGAGGGGAAAGCGGAAUUCCUGGUGUAGCGGUGAAAUGCGUAGAUAUCGGGAAGAACACCAGUGGCGAAGGCGGCUAUCUGGCUUGUAACUGACGCUGAGGCGCGAAGGCUAGGGGAGCAAACAGG
RNAcentral lists this ribosomal RNA (253 nucleotides) under uncultured bacterium. Its description in RNAcentral is "partial 16S ribosomal RNA". It matches the Rfam family "Bacterial small subunit ribosomal RNA", at positions 524 to 776 of the family's 1533-position model. The record is from RNAcentral.